Molecule: ribosomal RNA, 440 nt
Filed under: uncultured Blastocystis sp.
Lineage: Eukaryota; Bigyra; Opalinata; Blastocystidae
Description: bacterial SSU rRNA
Rfam family: Eukaryotic small subunit ribosomal RNA
Source: RNAcentral
ACAAUGCGGAACUUCUGUUUUGCAAUUGGAUUGAGAACAACGCACAACACUUAUCGAUAAACAAUUGGAGGGCAAGUCUGGUGCCAGCAGCCGCGGUAAUUCCAGCUCCAAUAGCGUAUAUUAACGUUGUUGCAGUUAAAAAGCUCGUAGUUGAAGUGAAGUGUGAACCUUCUGGAUUUUCGUUCGAAUUUCUUGCUGGUUCGCACUCUUUCCAAAUAGUUUGCAUGGGUAUUCACUUAUCUGUGUAUUGCAUUUGGUCAUUUACUGUGAGAAAAUUAGAGUGUUCAAAGCAUACGUUUGUUUGAAUACAUUAGCAUGGAAUAAUUCGAAAAGGCUUUCAUGUUCGAUUUGAUUGGUUUGUUCGUGAAGGCAAGAUUAAAAGGGACAGUUGGGGGUAUUCAUAUUCAAUAGUCAGAGGUGAAAUUCUCGGAUUUAUGGAA